ACUCUAGCCCGAGCAACAGAGUGAGACUUUGUUUAAGAAAAAAAAAAGAAAAAGAAAAGGAGCGAGGUAUCAUUGUAGAACCUCUGGGGCAGAAGGGCUUCUCAGUCAGAGUCUUUCAGGUUUGUUGUAUGUUUGAAAAUUUUCCGUAAUAAAGCAGGGUAGUUGGGGUCUUCUUGCUAAAGUGCAGUGACCCGCAGUUCCUGGCUGUGCCUUCUUUCACCCCGCGAAAGCGUGCACCUGGUGGUGGGGACACAGAUGCAAAAGUCCAAGGUGGGAACCAGCCGUCUGCCCACCUCAGUCAGUUCCAGAGGAUGGUGUCCCAGCCUGCUGCAGUGUCAACUGCCAGGUUUGGUGCUCCCUUGCCCACCCGGCUGCAUCCGCAGGUGAACUCCUUCCUGCCCAGGGAGCUACUCUGAGCAGGUGGGACUUGGGGAAGACUCCAUCCCCAAAAGGCGGUGGCCAUGGCCACACAGCUGCGCCCAAAAUGUGGUGCCCCAGUGUCUCAGGACGUUCCAGAUGCCCCGAGUUCGGAGACUUCACCGCGGGCUGCGGGGUGCAGGCCUAGAUGGAGCUGUAGAAAGUGUUCGAGCCUCCUCCUCCCUGUCCAGGGCAGGGCAGGUGACAGCAGCAGGACCUAGGAGAUGUUGUCAAGCCAGGUGACGUCCGACCAGCCGACCGACUGCCCAGAGGAGCCCUCCUGCCCCUUGUCUAGGAGGGACCCUGCGACUAACUGCGGGAGGUCACGUGGCGGUGGCCACCCAGGAGGCGGGACGUGAAGGACCUCGGCCUCGGUGGCGGAAGGUAGACUCGGACUCACCCAGCCUCACUCCAUUGGGGACAGACAGGACCAGGGACUUGCAUUCCGAGCAGCCUGUCUCUCAGACGCUUCCUCAGGUGUUUCCCACGCUAGGGUGGAGGCGCCAUUGUCCUCGUUAUGCAGACAAAGAAAUAGAACCCUGGAGAAAUGAAGGAGCUCGCCCACGCCAGGCAGCAGGCUUGUUUCUGAGGAGGUCACAGUGUGAAUGACAUCUGCAGAGAGACGCAGGUUCCACUCUGGGCGGGGACACACAGCGAUUGAAUGUCACCAGCAACCACGGUGGCCGCAAGUAACUGUCGGAAAGUGGGGAGUCCUGGAGGAACAGACAAGAGAGCAGGGGAUGCUCUGGCCCCCCGGCGCGCGGUGGGCGGGCGGGGCGUCCCGGGGCUGGGGUCUCUCCCAGACCUGGGCGGCCUGGUCUCUGGGGGCGGCUUCCCAGGCCGCUCACUCACACCCGA
Molecule: non-coding RNA, 1275 nt
Organism: Microcebus murinus (gray mouse lemur)
Lineage: Eukaryota; Metazoa; Chordata; Mammalia; Primates; Cheirogaleidae
Source: RefSeq, a predicted model, not a curated record